RNAcentral lists this ribosomal RNA (253 nucleotides) under uncultured bacterium. RNAcentral describes it as "partial 16S ribosomal RNA". It matches the Rfam family "Bacterial small subunit ribosomal RNA", at positions 524 to 776 of the family's 1533-position model. The record is from RNAcentral.
UACGUAGGGUGCAAGCGUUACUCGGAAUUACUGGGCGUAAAGCGUGCGCAGGCGGUUUUGUAAGUCCGAUGUGAAAUCCCCGGGCUUAACCUGGGAACUGCAUUGGUGACUGCAAGGCUUGAGUGUGUCAGAGGGAGGUGGAAUUCCGCGUGUAGCAGUGAAAUGCGUAGAUAUGCGGAGGAACACCGAUGGCGAAGGCAGCCUCCUGGGAUAACACUGACGCUCAUGCACGAAAGCGUGGGGAGCAAACAGG